Molecule: ribosomal RNA, 303 nt
Filed under: uncultured Flavobacterium sp.
Lineage: Bacteria; Pseudomonadati; Bacteroidota; Flavobacteriia; Flavobacteriales; Flavobacteriaceae
Description: bacterial SSU rRNA
Rfam family: Bacterial small subunit ribosomal RNA
Source: RNAcentral
GAUGAACGCUAGCGGCAGGCCUAACACAUGCAAGUCGAGGGGUAGGUAUCUUCGGAUAUUGAGACCGGCGCACGGGUGCGUAACGCGUAUGCAAUCUACCUUAUACUAAGGGAUAGCCCAGAGAAAUUUGGAUUAAUACCUUAUAGUUAUUUUGAAUGGCAUCGUUUAAAAUAUAAAGAUUUAUUGGUAUAAGAUGAGCAUGCGUCCCAUUAGUUAGUUGGUAAGGUAACGGCUUACCAAGACGAUGAUGGGUAGGGGUCCUGAGAGGGAGAUCCCCCACACUGGUACUGAGACACGGACCAG